AUGUUUUAUGUAAGUCAUAGUGAACUCUUCACACGAUCAGUGAACAGCAGACAGCUGAUCUGUGUUUAUUCACUCAAGACUGAACCUGAGAUCAGAUCACCACACAGUGACACAUACACCUUCAGAGACACAGUCACCAUCAGAGAUCUUCCUCAGGCCAAGUUGAGAGCGUCUGCUUCAGUUAUUCUGGAAACAGACACAGUUGAGCUGAGCUGUGAGAAUACUGAAGAUCUGAAGAUGGAGAAGUGUUUCUUCAACAUAAAUGGAAGAGAAAGUAACUCAAAACAGAGCUCAUCAUGUCAGCUCUCACUCACUGGAUCUCAGAUCAGUGUUUGGUCUGGAGGUCAGAGUUCAUCUGUGAGAAUAAGCUGCUUCUACACUGUGAAUUUGUCACAAGUUCAAAAACCAUCUGCUCACUCUGAUCCAGUGACAGUAACAGUCAACAGCUCCUGGCAUUAUUUCUGUCUGGACUCAUAGGAUUCAUCUGUCUGAGCCGCUUUACCAGUAAGAACAAUGUACAGGUUUAGUUGUACAUAAACUGAUAAACCAGAUAGAAACAUCAGCUCUUUUAACCUCCUCUGUCUGCGCCUCAAAACAUGGAUGACCUGUUUACUUUAUUUUCCUUUCGCUAAAGUAUUAAAUCUUAAAUCUAAUUUAGUCUAUAUGUACUUCUUUAUUCAACUAUUGUAACACACAUAGCUUUUAACAUAGAGAUUAAUUCUAAAAGCAAAGUUGACAGGUGAACUGCAACACUUUCAGAAAAUGAUCAUAGUGUCCUACUGGUUUUGUCUGUUUUUUUUUUUUGUUUUUUUUUACUUUAAGAUCAAUGACCAUCUGAACUGCUGGCUUUUGUCUGCAUGCUUUUAUACAGUUGCUUCCAUAUGAUUAUCAGAUUAGAUUUUUGCAUUAAGGAGCAAAAGUGUACCUGAUGAAGGGACCACUGUGUCCAGCUGUGUGUAUAAAAUCAUUAACCUAUUCACUAUGGUAUUCAAUAAAAAAUAAAGGUAAACCUGAACA
Cyprinus carpio (common carp) is the source of this 1017-nucleotide long non-coding RNA. The record is from Ensembl. NCBI's taxonomy places the organism in Eukaryota, Metazoa, Chordata, Actinopteri, Cypriniformes, Cyprinidae.